GUGCCUAAUACAUGCAAGUCGAACGGUCUUUCUAUGGAAGCUUGCUUCCACUGAGAAGAUAGUGGCGAACGGGUGAGUAACACGUGGGUAACCUGCCCAUAAGAGGGGGAUAACAUCCGGAAACGGGUGCUAAUACCGCAUAGUUUUCUUGAUCGCAUGAUUGAGAAAGGAAAGACGGCCUUUGUGCUGUCGCUUAUGGAUGGACCCGCGGCGUAUUAGUUAGUUGGUGAGGUAACGGCUCACCAAGACGAUGAUACGUAGCCGACCUGAGAGGGUGAUCGGCCACAUUGGGACUGAGACACGGCCCAAACUCCUACGGGAGGCAGCAGUAGGGAAUCUUCCGCAAUGGACGAAAGUCUGACGGAGCAACGCCGCGUGAGUGAAGAAAAGGGUUUUCGGAUCGUAAAACUCUGUUGUCAGAGAAGAACAAGUUGGAGAGUAACUGCUCCAGCCUUGACGGUAUCUGACCAGAAAGCCACGGCUAACUACGUGCCAGCAGCGGC
This 503-nucleotide ribosomal RNA is filed under the name uncultured bacterium. RNAcentral describes it as "bacterial SSU rRNA". It matches the Rfam family "Bacterial small subunit ribosomal RNA", at positions 44 to 518 of the family's 1533-position model. The record is from RNAcentral.